UACGGAAGGCAGCAGUGGGGAAUAUUGCACAAUGGGCGCAAGCCUGAUGCAGCCAUGCCGCGUGUAUGAAGAAGGCCUUCGGGUUGUAAAGUACUUUCAGUCGUGAGGAAGGUGUUAAGGUUAAUAACCUUAGCAAUUGACGUUAGCGACAGAAGAAGCACCGGCUAACUCCGUGCCAGCAGCCGCGGUAAUACGGAGGGUGCGAGCGUUAAUCGGAAUUACUGGGCGUAAAGGGCACGCAGGCGGUUAAUUAAGUUGGAUGUGAAAUCCCCGGGCUUAACCUGGGAAUGGCAUUCAAGACUGGUUAGCUAGAGUCUUGUAGAGGGGGUAGAAUUCCAUGUGUAGCGGUGAAAUGCGUAGAGAUGUGGAGGAAAUACCGGUGGGCGAAGGCGGCCCCUGGGACAAAGACUGACGCUCAUGUGCGAAAGCGUGGGGAGCAAACAGGGAUUAGAUACC
This 456-nucleotide ribosomal RNA is filed under the name uncultured bacterium. RNAcentral describes it as "bacterial SSU rRNA". It matches the Rfam family "Bacterial small subunit ribosomal RNA", at positions 340 to 786 of the family's 1533-position model. The record is from RNAcentral.